CUUAUGGUAAGUUUUCUUAGCUCUUUAAAGCCUUAUGGAUGAUCUACACAAAAUGAAUUUGAACAUUCCCGUUGAUCCUGUCCCUCUGACUCAAAUUAUCGAGGCUUUGAAAAAAGAAGGAACAUUUCUUGGUUCAGUCACUCAAAAUGAAAUAACGUUAAGUUCUUUAAACCAAUCUUUUUCCUCCAGUUAUGCUGAAAU
Molecule: long non-coding RNA, 201 nt
Organism: Zophobas morio
Lineage: Eukaryota; Metazoa; Arthropoda; Insecta; Coleoptera; Tenebrionidae
Exons: 3
Source: RefSeq, a predicted model, not a curated record